Molecule: unclassified non-coding RNA, 375 nt
Filed under: soil metagenome
Description: partial contains 5.8S ribosomal RNA, internal transcribed spacer 2, and large subunit ribosomal RNA
Rfam family: 5.8S ribosomal RNA (bases 1-120)
Source: RNAcentral
GAUGAAGAACGUAGUGAAAUGCGAUAAGUAAUGUGAAUUGCAGAAUUCAGAGAAUCAUCGAAUCUUUGAACGCACAUUGCGCCCGCCAGUAUUCUGGCGGGCAUGCCUGUUCGAGCGUCAUUUCAACCCUCAAGACCCCUUCGGGGGACUUGGUGUUGGGGACCGGCACAGGGGCCUGCCUGCUUGUCUUGCAGCGCCCUCGCCGCCCCCGAAAUGAAUUGGCGGCCUCGUCGCGGCCUCCCCUGCGUAGUAGCACAACCUCGCAACGGGAACGUGACGGCGGCCACUGCCGUAAAACAACCCCAAUUUUAUUAGAGUUGACCUCGAAUCAGGUAGGAAUACCCGCUGAACUUAAGCAUAUCAAUAAGCGGAGGA